GACGAACGCUGGCGGCGCGCCUAACACAUGCAAGUCGAACGAGAGAUGAGGAGCUUGCUCUUCAAAUCGAGUGGCGAACGGGUGAGUAACGCGUGAGGAACCUGCCCCUGGAGUGGGGGACAACAGUUGGAAACGACUGCUAAUACCGCAUAAGCCCACGGCCCGGCAUCGGGCUGAGGGAAAAGGAUUUAUUUGCUUCAGGAUGGACUCGCGUCCAAUUAGCUAGUUGGUGAGGUAACGGCCCACCAAGGCGACGAUUGGUAGCCGGACUGAGAGGUUGAACGGCCACAUUGGGACUGAGACACGGCCCAGACUCCUACGGGAGGCAGCAGUGGGGGAUAUUGCACAAUGGGGGAAACCCUGAUGCAGCGACGCCGCGUGGAGGAAGAAGGUUUUCGGGUUGUAAACUCUUUUGUCAGGGACGAGUAGAAGACGGUACCUGACGAAUAAGCCACGGCUAACUACGUG
Molecule: ribosomal RNA, 468 nt
Filed under: uncultured bacterium
Lineage: Bacteria
Description: bacterial SSU rRNA
Rfam family: Bacterial small subunit ribosomal RNA
Source: RNAcentral